This 138-nucleotide unclassified non-coding RNA is filed under the name soil metagenome. RNAcentral's name for it is "partial internal transcribed spacer 1". The record is from RNAcentral.
CUGAGUACUACACUCUCUACCCUUUGUGAACUAUUAUACCUGUUGCUUCGGCGGCGCCCGCAACGGUGCCCGCCGGUCUCAUCAGAAUCUCUGUUUUCGAACCCGACGAUACUUCUGAGUGUUCUUAGCGAACUGUCA